AGAGUUUGAUCAUGGCUCAGAUUGAACGCUGGCGGCAUGCUUAAUACAUGCAAGUCGAACGGUAACAGAUUCUUCGGAAUGCUGACGAGUGGCGGACGGGUGAGUAAUACAUAGGAAUCUGCCCAUGUAGUGGGGGACAACUUGGGGAAACUCAAGCUAAUACCGCAUAAUUCCUACGGGAUAAAGAGGGCCACUGCUUGCAAGCUCUUGCUACUGGAUGAGCCUAUGUCGGAUUAGUUAGUUGGUAAGGUAAUGGCUUACCAAGACAGCGAUCCGUAGCUGGUUUGAGAGGAUGAUCAGCCACACUGGGACUGAGACACGGCCCAGACUCCUACGGGAGGCAGCAGUAGGGAGUAUUGGACAAUGGGCGCAAGUCUGAUCCAGCAAUGCCGCGUGUGUGAAGAAGGCCUGCGGGUUGUAAAGCACUUUCAAUUGGGAAGAAAGAUUAUGAGUUAAUACCUUAUAAUAUUGACG
This 474-nucleotide ribosomal RNA is filed under the name uncultured bacterium. RNAcentral describes it as "bacterial SSU rRNA". It matches the Rfam family "Bacterial small subunit ribosomal RNA", at positions 8 to 474 of the family's 1533-position model. The record is from RNAcentral.